GUUUAUUUGUUUAUUUAUUUUACUCGUUGAAAUUUUGCCUAGUAACAUCACUGCGCCUUGCUUGAAAAAAUCUUUUCAUAUUACUAAUACUUAUAUAACAUUUGUGGAAAAGUCAAAUAGCCUAGCUAUUUAAUUCAGAUUUAUUUUAGUGUAGAUUUGCAUAAGUAUCAUUUUAGAUUUCUAUAAAUUUGUAUAAACCCAAUUCAACCCCCCUC
This 215-nucleotide long non-coding RNA is filed under the name Elaeis guineensis (African oil palm). RNAcentral's name for it is "long non-coding RNA (EGUI_LNC030284)". Lineage: Eukaryota; Viridiplantae; Streptophyta; Magnoliopsida; Arecales; Arecaceae. The record is from RNAcentral.